Gopherus evgoodei (Goodes thornscrub tortoise) is the source of this 136-nucleotide long non-coding RNA. RefSeq lists it as uncharacterized. The transcript has 3 exons. Lineage: Eukaryota; Metazoa; Chordata; Testudines; Testudinidae. The record is from RefSeq and is a predicted model, not a curated record.
UCCUCCUCAUGCCCAGCUUUCCUGGCCAGUUAGUUGCCAUGAGCUACGAUCCCCAGCUGCGAACUCAAGCCACGAACUCAAGAUACAAUCAGGACUGGUAACUAUCCAGCAGCUGCAGAACAUGUGGGGGUGUGUG